AGAGAAGCUAUCCACGUUGGACUAAAUAAUCGACCAAUAGAAAGCUUGCUUUUUGCCACAUCAGCACAGAUCUUGGGUAUUGUUGGGCUUUUCUUUAUAUUUUUGAUCUGUUUUGUUUGAUGUGUCUAGCCCACAAAACCUAAUCUGAGAAGCUGAGAAACCAAACGAUGAAUCCCUUCUCUUUCAUGUCGUUCUUUGUCUCUAUUUCUACCGUCUUCUCAUCUUUCCUCCUCAUACAAAAACGUUUCCCGUUUCUUCAGUCGAGAUUGUCUUCUCAUCUCCCGUACUUCCUCCAUCUUUCAUGAUUAUAUAUGUCAAAGUCACCAACAAUAGAUCAAUCCAAUUGUUUGUUUUAAUUUCAUCACCUACACUUCAAUUCGAAAUACAAUUUUCCAGUUUCAAAGUUACAUCGACUUGGGAGUACUCCGGGUAUCAUUGUAAAAUGCCUCUAAUCAUGUUUUCGGAUUUCGCCUAACCAUGUAUCAGAUCCCUGUUUGCUUCAUCAUCCCUUAAAUCAGAGAAAUAUGAGUCGUACCAUGGUGAACAAGGCCUUAAAGGCUAACCAAAUCAGAACCGGAGCUGAACGCAAGAGAUCUUUUGUGGCAUGUUUAGCCUUAGGUAUGUCCUUGAAGACGACAGUUCCCACACGAACACAACGGCAACCCAAACUCAGAAGAAACAGGUUUCUGUCGAGUUUCUCAUUCCUGGUUAAAAAAAAAACUGGUGAGAUUUUCAGUUGAUCAUCUGAGGUAUGGAUACACAAACAUGAUGCAAGAGAAAGGCAUAAGGAGCACAUGUAUUAAUACAUAUUUCUACUCAGUUCCACUUAAUUACCAGAAGGAUGGUUUCAAACUUCAACCGACUGUACCAUAUCUCAAAUCCGUUUUGAAUCGGUGGUAUCUAAAGUUUAUGUAAAUCGACGAUUUGUUUCCAGGCCUAUAUGUUGGUGCAUUCGGACCUAAAGGCACUGAGAUAGUACAACUUCAUUGUCAGUAUGGACACUAAAGUGAUGUAGAGGAAAGCAACUCCUCAAAUAUUGAGUUCUUUGAAUAUACUGAUGCUGUGAAGUUACAUGGGAUCCAAAUAUGUCGGCUGGCCAGAAAAUAUUUUGUGCAAGAGUUGGAAGGGAAGUCGUGUGAGGAAUCGUGGAUUCUAUAGGAAAUGGUGUGAGAGUUGUUUGUGUAUAUGAAGCUUUGGAGAUGCAUGUGUUGGAGGGCCGCUUUUAAAACUCAAUGGAAUGGUGAGACAAUAUAGACAACCCGUCAGUUAUUUGUCCCGGAAUGCGACCAUACGGGAUAGGUGGGGUUCUAAAUAACACAUGUGUUGGACACAAGAACUUAAUGAGGCUUUUGUUGACGCUGUGCCUAAUCAGCUUGGCGGUAGUCAACGUGCGUAAACUUUCCUCUUCUCUUUGUUCCUGUAAAUAAAUAUUUGAAGGCUAUUAACUAUAAACAGUGGCGCUUACCAUUCUCUUGGACUUCUUCUUUCAACCAUAGGAGCCACGCCUUAGACUGUUCUGAAUAACAUAGGUUUUGUUCUUAUCCUGACUAUUUAUUUCGUUUUCUUGCAAUUCAUGUUGUUACAGUUAUCUCCUUUUGUAUUUUCUUACGGAGAGAAAUACAGAAAGCAAAAGCAUAAGCAGGAGACUUUGGAAGCUACAGCAUAUACUUUCACAAAUACUUUUGUGCUUUCCUGAGCUAUAAACCACAUAUGGGUCUUGAAAAUUAAUCAUUCCUUAGAGAGGCUAAUGUCUCUAAGGCAACAGGUUACAAAGGAACCCAUAUUUUUGAUAACUGUGUUUCUUUCUUCACAGGGGAACCUCGAGAGAAGAAGAUGACAUCAACGGAAGAAAUCAAAUAUCUUGACAUGUUAACGAGCAUUGAGAUCGUAGAAUCUUUAAGGUUACAAACUGAAGUUCAGAAACACCUCCAUCUCCAGCUUGAGGUAAUGAUUUCACCUGCAUAGCGUUAAAAAGACAAGCAAUUCUCUGUUCGGGAGACUUCAUUGCGGUCAGGUGCGAGGGACCAGUUUAUCAUAGAGAAAGCAUAGCACGCAGAUUGAGGUUGACUCAGUCAUGGCAAUCUAAGAUAUUGAGGUUUUGAUAUUUUUAAGGCACGUGUUUUACUUUUCGUUAUACCAGAAAUUUUGGUCAUGCUGAACCACUCUCCUUAAAUGAUCGACUCAUAUAAAUAAUAUAUAUUAAAAAAAAAUUGAUGCA
Molecule: long non-coding RNA, 2218 nt
Organism: Brassica rapa (field mustard)
Lineage: Eukaryota; Viridiplantae; Streptophyta; Magnoliopsida; Brassicales; Brassicaceae
Source: RefSeq, a predicted model, not a curated record